This 209-nucleotide long non-coding RNA is filed under the name Mytilus galloprovincialis (Mediterranean mussel). The record is from RNAcentral. Lineage: Eukaryota; Metazoa; Mollusca; Bivalvia; Mytilida; Mytilidae.
ACCAGAUGCACCGCAGGGCGCAGCUUUAUACGACCGCAGAGUUCGAACCCUGAACAUUGGGGCAAGUAUGGACACAACAUUCAAGCUUGAUACAGCUCUGAAUUUGGAUUGUGAUUAAAUAGUUGACACAACACAGGUUUCUGACACAUAAUGAAUGUGGUCUAAGAACUUAAACUUAAAAACUUUAAAUUUUAAAUUGGACAUUACCU